GUGGCCACUUGCUUUGUGUCAAAAAGAUAGGUGUGGGCCAUGGCUACCCACUUGUACUUCAUUCUCACUUCAUUUUAAUUAACCCUUUUUCUUUCCCACUUGCCCACUUCAUGUGCAUCACACACCAAACGACAAAAUAACAUUUUUUUAUUCUAUUUCCAUCUUCAUCCACCAAAUUUCUCAUUUUUUCUUCUUUUAUCAUCUAUAACUUCCUUCCUUUUGGUAUAAUAUUUCUGUUAUUUACCAAGGAUGAUGAUGGCUAUUGUCUUUUGGAAAAAUUCACUUAACUAAUGUUCUGGUAUACCCACAUGACUUUAAUCCCC
Molecule: long non-coding RNA, 323 nt
Filed under: Vigna radiata
Lineage: Eukaryota; Viridiplantae; Streptophyta; Magnoliopsida; Fabales; Fabaceae
Description: long non-coding RNA (VRAD_LNC011042)
Source: RNAcentral